This is a long non-coding RNA of Acanthopagrus latus (yellowfin seabream), 893 nucleotides long. RefSeq lists it as uncharacterized. NCBI's taxonomy places the organism in Eukaryota, Metazoa, Chordata, Actinopteri, Spariformes, Sparidae. The record is from RefSeq and is a predicted model, not a curated record. The transcript is spliced from 3 exons.
CCAGCUAUGCUGUGUUUUUACAUGCUCAGUUCUCAUGCUUGGGUGUAAAAGUGAGCACAGAUAAACAGACUGCUAAAUAAUAUUGUUGGAUGCCUUUUGCCUUGGAGAAUACAUAUCUAGAGGAGUGACGCGAGACGGAGCACUUGAGAUGCUGCAGUAGAGAUCCGAGGGGGAGAACAGAGGAAGAUCAGAGAGGACAAGCUGUGGCUAAUAAGUAGAGAAAAGAGCGAAAAAAGUGGAUUUUUGCAGUUGAAAACCCUAACUUGCCAGGUCGGGAACUGAUGGGGGAUUUUAUGAAAACUAAGCCACACCGGUUUUGCUCGGUCGGAGCAAGGACUGGUCUGCACUGUGCGGGCGUGCACAUGCAUAGACGGGAUCCAAGAUGGCGAGCUAGACCCGGAUCUUCACCUCACCUUCUCCAACCCAUCAGUGAGGAAAUCUUCUGCAUAUGGUGACUCGCUGCCAGAGUGGCAGGAGUAUCCGGAGUUAGUUUUGAACUGAACUGAGAACUGAACACUUGAACUCACAUUUGGAUUCUAACUUGAAUUGGAAGUGUCAAACUUUUAUUUGUAUAUUGAGUUCAUACUUCUGAAUGUGAUUUGAAAUGAUUGUGGUCCACUUUGAUUGUGUAAUUGAAGGGAAAAACGAGUUAACUCGGGAAGAAAAACAGGAAUUCCAAAAUAGGUGUAACCUAGAAAAAAAAAACGACUGGUCCAAUAUAACUUACAUUAGCUGUACUAAAAUAAAUUUGGUGAACUAAAGAAAGUGAAAUAUCUUUUCAUUUAAUAUAUUUACCCCAAUAUUAAGAACCUGCAGGGUAUUUUUUUUUAUUUGUGUACUGUACUUUAUUUGUGUUGUUGCAUUCAUUAAAUUGCCGGCCUUUUGCAGUUAAA